Unclassified non-coding RNA from Cavia aperea (Brazilian guinea pig), 259 nucleotides. Its record names the gene 7SK. It matches the Rfam family "7SK RNA". Rfam says of the family: 7SK was discovered as an abundant small nuclear RNA in the mid-70s but a possible function has only recently been suggested. Two independent studies have found that 7SK RNA binds the CDK9/cyclin T complex (known as elongation factor P-TEFb). NCBI's taxonomy places the organism in Eukaryota, Metazoa, Chordata, Mammalia, Rodentia, Caviidae. The record is from Ensembl.
UGAUGUGAGAGCGGUUUGCCUGUGACCUCUGUCACCUCACUGACUGUCAGGGUUAUUUGGCUGAUAUGGCUGGCUGGGUGUCCCCUUCCUACGUCAUGCUCUGUGUGUGUCCCUCGGGAAGAGCGGCCCUCCCAUGGACGAGGACAUUUCCUCAGGCGAGGGUGUAUGGACCACACUACCCUUCCAGAACCACCAGGCAGCUCUCAAAAUGAGAACUCUGGAGUCUGGACUGGAGUUUAUGAUUUCCAAACCAAAAGUU